UAGUCCACGCCCUAAACGAUGCUUACUCGAUAUCUGAUGAAUUUUGGGUGUCCAAGGGAAACCGUUAAGUAAGCCACCUGGGGAGUACGUUCGCAAGAAUGAAACUCAAAGGAAUUGACGGGGGCCCGCACAAGCGGUGGAGCAUGUGGUUUAAUUCGAUGAUACGCGAGGAACCUUACCAGGGCUUAAAUGCAUAUUGACAGGGCCAGAGAUGGCUUUUCCUUCGGGCAAUUUGCAAGGUGCUGCAUGGUUGUCGUCAGCUCGUGCCGUGAGGUGUCAGGUUAAGUCCCAUAACGAGCGCAACCCCUGCCGUUAGUUGCCAGCAUGUAAAGAUGGGGACUCUAACGGGACUGCCGGUGCAAACCGUGAGGAAGGUGGGGAUGACGUCAAAUCAUCACGGCCCUUACGUCCUGGGCCACACACGUGCUACAAUGGCCGGUACAGAGAGCAGCCAUGUCGUAAGGCAGCGCGAAUCUACAAAACCGGUCACAGUUCGGAUCGGGGUCUGCAACUCG
Molecule: ribosomal RNA, 515 nt
Filed under: uncultured bacterium
Lineage: Bacteria
Description: bacterial SSU rRNA
Rfam family: Bacterial small subunit ribosomal RNA
Source: RNAcentral